UUAAGCGACUAAGCGUACACGGUGGAUGCCCUGGCAGUCAGAGGCGAUGAAGGACGUGCUAAUCUGCGAUAAGCGUCGGUAAGGUGAUAUGAACCGUUAUAACCGGCGAUUUCCGAAUGGGGAAACCCAGUGUGAUUCGUCACACUAUCAUUAACUGAAUCCAUAGGUUAAUGAGGCGAACCGGGGGAACUGAAACAUCUAAGUACCCCGAGGAAAAGAAAUCAACCGAGAUUCCCCCAGUAGCGGCGAGCGAACGGGGAGGAGCCCAGAGCCUGAAUCAGUGUGUGUGUUAGUGGAAGCGUCUGGAAAGGCGCGCGAUACAGGGUGACAGCCCCGUACACAAAAAUGCACAUAUUGUGAGCUCGAUGAGUAGGGCGGGACACGUGGUAUCCUGUCUGAAUAUGGGGGGACCAUCCUCCAAGGCUAAAUACUCCUGACUGACCGAUAGUGAACCAGUACCGUGAGGGAAAGGCGAAAAGAACCCCGGCGAGGGGAGUGAAAAAGAACCUGAAACCGUGUACGUACAAGCAGUGGGAGCCUCUUUUAUGGGGUGACUGCGUACCUUUUGUAUAAUGGGUCAGCGACUUAUAUUCUGUAGCAAGGUUAACCGAAUAGGGGAGCCGAAGGGAAACCGAGUCUUAACUGGGCGUUAAGUUGCAGGGUAUAGACCCGAAACCCGGUGAUCUAGCCAUGGGCAGGUUGAAGGUUGGGUAACACUAACUGGAGGACCGAACCGACUAAUGUUGAAAAAUUAGCGGAUGACUUGUGGCUGGGGGUGAAAGGCCAAUCAAACCGGGAGAUAGCUGGUUCUCCCCGAAAGCUAUUUAGGUAGCGCCUCGUGAAUUCAUCUCCGGGGGUAGAGCACUGUUUCGGCAAGGGGGUCAUCCCGACUUACCAACCCGAUGCAAACUGCGAAUACCGGAGAAUGUUAUCACGGGAGACACACGGCGGGUGCUAACGUCCGUCGUGAAGAGGGAAACAACCCAGACCGCCAGCUAAGGUCCCAAAGUCAUGGUUAAGUGGGAAACGAUGUGGGAAGGCCCAGACAGCCAGGAUGUUGGCUUAGAAGCAGCCAUCAUUUAAAGAAAGCGUAAUAGCUCACUGGUCGAGUCGGCCUGCGCGGAAGAUGUAACGGGGCUAAACCAUGCACCGAAGCUGCGGCAGCGACACUAUGUGUUGUUGGGUAGGGGAGCGUUCUGUAAGCCUGUGAAGGUGUACUGUGAGGUAUGCUGGAGGUAUCAGAAGUGCGAAUGCUGACAUAAGUAACGAUAAAGCGGGUGAAAAGCCCGCUCGCCGGAAGACCAAGGGUUCCUGUCCAACGUUAAUCGGGGCAGGGUGAGUCGACCCCUAAGGCGAGGCCGAAAGGCGUAGUCGAUGGGAAACAGGUUAAUAUUCCUGUACUUGGUGUUACUGCGAAGGGGGGACGGAGAAGGCUAUGUUGGCCGGGCGACGGUUGUCCCGGUUUAAGCGUGUAGGCUGGUUUUCCAGGCAAAUCCGGAAAAUCAAGGCUGAGGCGUGAUGACGAGGCACUACGGUGCUGAAGCAACAAAUGCCCUGCUUCCAGGAAAAGCCUCUAAGCAUCAGGUAACAUCAAAUCGUACCCCAAACCGACACAGGUGGUCAGGUAGAGAAUACCAAGGCGCUUGAGAGAACUCGGGUGAAGGAACUAGGCAAAAUGGUGCCGUAACUUCGGGAGAAGGCACGCUGAUAUGUAGGUGAAGUCCCUCGCGGAUGGAGCUGAAAUCAGUCGAAGAUACCAGCUGGCUGCAACUGUUUAUUAAAAACACAGCACUGUGCAAACACGAAAGUGGACGUAUACGGUGUGACGCCUGCCCGGUGCCGGAAGGUUAAUUGAUGGGGUCAGCGCAAGCGAAGCUCUUGAUCGAAGCCCCGGUAAACGGCGGCCGUAACUAUAACGGUCCUAAGGUAGCGAAAUUCCUUGUCGGGUAAGUUCCGACCUGCACGAAUGGCGUAAUGAUGGCCAGGCUGUCUCCACCCGAGACUCAGUGAAAUUGAACUCGCUGUGAAGAUGCAGUGUACCCGCGGCAAGACGGAAAGACCCCGUGAACCUUUACUAUAGCUUGACACUGAACAUUGAGCCUUGAUGUGUAGGAUAGGUGGGAGGCUUUGAAGUGUGGACGCCAGUCUGCAUGGAGCCGACCUUGAAAUACCACCCUUUAAUGUUUGAUGUUCUAACGUUGACCCGUGAUCCGGGUUGCGGACAGUGUCUGGUGGGUAGUUUGACUGGGGCGGUCUCCUCCUAAAGAGUAACGGAGGAGCACGAAGGUUGGCUAAUCCUGGUCGGACAUCAGGAGGUUAGUGCAAUGGCAUAAGCCAGCUUGACUGCGAGCGUGACGGCGCGAGCAGGUGCGAAAGCAGGUCAUAGUGAUCCGGUGGUUCUGAAUGGAAGGGCCAUCGCUCAACGGAUAAAAGGUACUCCGGGGAUAACAGGCUGAUACCGCCCAAGAGUUCAUAUCGACGGCGGUGUUUGGCACCUCGAUGUCGGCUCAUCACAUCCUGGGGCUGAAGUAGGUCCCAAGGGUAUGGCUGUUCGCCAUUUAAAGUGGUACGCGAGCUGGGUUUAGAACGUCGUGAGACAGUUCGGUCCCUAUCUGCCGUGGGCGCUGGAGAACUGAGGGGGGCUGCUCCUAGUACGAGAGGACCGGAGUGGACGCAUCACUGGUGUUCGGGUUGUCAUGCCAAUGGCACUGCCCGGUAGCUAAAUGCGGAAGAGAUAAGUGCUGAAAGCAUCUAAGCACGAAACUUGCCCCGAGAUGAGUUCUCCCUGACCCUUUAAGGGUCCUGAAGGAACGUUGAAGACGACGACGUUGAUAGGCCGGGUGUGUAAGCGCAGCGAUGCGUUGAGCUAACCGGUACUAAUGAACCGUGAGGCUUAACCUU
RNAcentral lists this ribosomal RNA (2901 nucleotides) under Escherichia coli. Its description in RNAcentral is "bacterial LSU rRNA". It matches the Rfam family "Bacterial large subunit ribosomal RNA". Lineage: Bacteria; Pseudomonadati; Pseudomonadota; Gammaproteobacteria; Enterobacterales; Enterobacteriaceae. The record is from RNAcentral.